This 459-nucleotide ribosomal RNA is filed under the name uncultured bacterium. RNAcentral's name for it is "partial 16S ribosomal RNA". It matches the Rfam family "Bacterial small subunit ribosomal RNA", at positions 338 to 795 of the family's 1533-position model. The record is from RNAcentral.
CCUACGGGAGGCAGCAGUGAGGAAUAUUGGUCAAUGGUCGGGAGACUGAACCUGCCAAGCCGCGUGAGGGAUGAAGGUACAGAGUAUCGUAAACCUCUUUUGUCAGGGAACAAAGGCGGGGACGUGUCCCCGGAUGAGUGUACCUGAAGAAAAAGCAUCGGCUAAUUCCGUGCCAGCAGCCGCGGUAAUACGGAGGAUACGAGCGUUAUCCGGAUUUAUUGGGUUUAAAGGGUGCGCAGGCGGUCUGUUAAGUCAGCGGUAAAAGCCCGGGGCUCAACCCCGUCCCGCCGUUGAAACUGGCAGUCUCGAGUUGGAGAGAGGUAUGUGGAAUGCGCGGUGUAGCGGUGAAAUGCAUAGAUAUCGCGAAGAACUCCGAUUGCGAAGGCAGCAUGCCGGCUCCACACUGACGCUGAGGCACGAAAGCGUGGGUAUCGAACAGGAUUAGAUACCCUGGUAGUC